UGCAACCGUACGGUCACCGGCCGCCAUCUUGGGAAGCUCAAAACAUUGCCGUCCGCCACUCAGCUGCAUUAUGUGCAUGCGCCUUUGCGUAGCAUUUUUGUGGCGUCAUGCCCGCCUGCUGUGGUUAUGGGUGUGCUGACCGUACUGGCAAGGCACCGUGGACGACAUUUCACAAGUUCCCUCACGGCCGCCCAGAACAUUUAAACAAAAUAUGCGGUAAAUGUCAGGCGAAAGGACUGGACGCCGUCGACGACAUCACUGGUCUGCAGCAAACAUUUAAAAAACAACUGCUUCGACAGACGCUGUGCCCAACAAGUUCGACUUCCCAGAACACCUCCAGAAAGUAAUAAUGCAUGCGACAUAUGUAGAGGCCGGAUUUAUAUGCACUAAAAGCUGGUUGAACACA
This is a long non-coding RNA of Ornithodoros turicata, 406 nucleotides long. RefSeq lists it as uncharacterized. NCBI's taxonomy places the organism in Eukaryota, Metazoa, Arthropoda, Arachnida, Ixodida, Argasidae. The transcript has 2 exons. The record is from RefSeq and is a predicted model, not a curated record.